AGGACGAACGCUGGCGGCGUGCUUAACACAUGCAAGUCGAACGGAAAGGCCCUUUCGGGGUACUCGAGCGGCGAACGGGUGAGUAACACGUGAGCAAUCUGCCCUUAGCUUCGGGAUAGCUCCGGGAAACCGGAAUUAAAUACCGGAUAUGACUAUGGCUGACAUCAGCCACGGUGGAAAGUUUUUCGGCUAGGGAUGAGCUCGCGGCCUAUCAGCUAGUUGGUGGGUAACGCCUACCAAGGCGACGACGGGUA
RNAcentral lists this ribosomal RNA (254 nucleotides) under uncultured bacterium. RNAcentral describes it as "partial small subunit ribosomal RNA". It matches the Rfam family "Bacterial small subunit ribosomal RNA", at positions 26 to 285 of the family's 1533-position model. The record is from RNAcentral.